UACAGAGGGUGCGAGCGUUAAUCGGAAUUACUGGGCGUAAAGCGCACGUAGGCGGCUUUGUAAGUUAGAGGUGAAAGCCCGGGGCUCAACUCCGGAAUAGCCUUUAAGACUGCAUCGCUCGAAUCCGGGAGAGGUGAGUGGAAUUCCGAGUGUAGAGGUGAAAUUCGUAGAUAUUCGGAAGAACACCAGUGGCGAAGGCGGCUCACUGGACCGGUAUUGACGCUGAGGUGCGAAAGCGUGGGGAGCAAACAGG
Molecule: ribosomal RNA, 253 nt
Filed under: uncultured bacterium
Lineage: Bacteria
Description: partial 16S ribosomal RNA
Rfam family: Bacterial small subunit ribosomal RNA
Source: RNAcentral